RNAcentral lists this long non-coding RNA (1911 nucleotides) under Salmo salar (Atlantic salmon). RNAcentral describes it as "lncRNA (ENSSSAG00000084393.1)". The record is from RNAcentral. Lineage: Eukaryota; Metazoa; Chordata; Actinopteri; Salmoniformes; Salmonidae.
UAUGAGAGGACAACAGGACUCGUACCUCUCUGGGGUAGAUAUAUGAGAGGACAACAGGACUCGUACCUCUCUGGGGUAGAUAUAUGAGUGGACAACAGGACUCGUACCUCUCUGGGGUAGAUAUAUGAGAGGACAACAGGACUCGUACCUCUCUGGGGUAGAUAUAUGAGGUGUCAGUAUGAGAGGACAACAGGACUCGUACCUCUCUGGGGUAGAUAUAUGAGGUGUCAGUAUGAGGACAACAGGACUCGUACCUCUCUGGGGUAGAUAUAUGAGGUGUCAGUAUGAGGACAACAGGACUCGUACCUCUCUGGGGUAGAUAUAUGACGUCAGUAUGAGAGGACUCGUACCUCUCUGGGGUAGAUAUAUGAGGUGUCAGUAUGAGAGGACUCGUCCCUCUCUGGGGUAGAUAUAUGAGGUGUCAGUAUGAGAGGACUCGUCCCUCUCUGGGGUAGAUAUAUGAGAGGACAACAGGACUCGUGCCUCUCUGGGGUAGAUAUAUGAGGUGUCAGAAUGAGGACAACAGGACUCGUACCUCUCUGUUGUAGAGGACAUGAGACACCAGUCUCCCCACUCUGGUGUAGAGGACAUGAGACACCAGUCGCGUAGACACAGAAACAGACUGGAUGGGCCUCAGCUUGGCAGCGCGUGAUGGAUUCUGCAUGCACUCCUACAUCUGCUCUCCUCCAUCCCUCUCUCCUCCAGCCUCCUUCCUUCCUUCCCUCCAUCAUUCAGUCUCAUUCCUUCCCUCUCCUCCUUCCUUCAUCCCUCUCAUCCAGUCUCCUUCCUUCAUCCCUCUCUCCUCCAGUCUCCUUCCUUCCCUCUCUCAUUUCAGUCUCUCUCCGUCUCCAGCUCCCUCUCCAUAUUACUUGCGGCAGACCGGCUGUCACGAUUCUCCUCCCACUGGUUCCGUCGCUCCAGGCUGCUGUCAGCUCUCUCCUACUCUCCAUGUGCUCCACAGUCUAUUAUGUACAGUAUGGAGCUGUCUCUCACACACACACACACACACACACACACACACACACACACACACACGUGAAGAACCACUCCGUCCAUGAUUGAAAUCUGAAAGCGAGUGUCUGCAUGACUCACGACUGAAAAAACAUUCUAACACAAACCCGGCCCAAACUGCAACGUUUAGAAACCACCAGCAAACCCAGCCCAAACUGCAACGUUUAGAAACCACCAGCAAACCCAGCCCAAACUACAAGACAACGUUUAGAAACCACCAGCAAACCCGGCCCAAACUGCAACGUUUAGAAACCACCAGCAAACCCAGCCCAAACUACAACGUUUAUAAACCACCAGCAAACCCAGCCCAAACUACAACGUUUAGAAACCACCAGCAAACCCAGCCCAAACUGCAACGUUUAGAAACCACCAGCAAACCCAGCCCAAACUGCAACGUUUAGAAACCACCAGCAAACCCAGCCCAAACUACAACGUUUAGAAACCACCAGCAAACCCGGCCCAAACUGCAACGUUUAGAAACCACCAGCAAACCCAGCCCAAACUACAACGCAACGUUUAGAAACCACCAGCAAACCCAGCCCAAACUACAACGUUUAGAAACCAACAGCAAACCCAGCCCAAACUACAACGUUUAGAAACCACCAGCAAACCCAGCCCAAACUGCAACGUUUAGAAACCACCAGCAAACCCAGCCCAAACUGCAACGUUUAGAAACCACCAGCAAACCCAGCCCAAACUGCAACGUUUAGAAACCACCAGCAAACCCAGCCCAAACUGCAACGUUUAGAAACCACCAGCAAACCCAGCCCAAACUACAACGUUUAGAAACCACCAGCAAACCCAGCCCAAACUACAACGUUUAGAAACCACCAGCAAACCCGGCCCAAACUGCAACGUUUAGAAACCACCAGCAAACCCGGCCCAAACUGCAACGUUUAG